This 64-nucleotide transfer RNA is filed under the name Cavia porcellus (domestic guinea pig). It matches the Rfam family "tRNA", at positions 1 to 62 of the family's 71-position model. Rfam says of the family: Transfer RNA (tRNA) molecules are approximately 80 nucleotides in length. Their secondary structure includes four short double-helical elements and three loops (D, anti-codon, and T loops). The record is from Rfam by way of RNAcentral. Lineage: Eukaryota; Metazoa; Chordata; Mammalia; Rodentia; Caviidae.
GGGGAUUUAGCUCAGUGGCAUAAGCACCUGCCUUGCAAGUAGGCGAUCGUAGGUUUGAUCCCCA